UGGGGAAUCUUGCGCAAUGGGCGAAAGCCUGACGCAGCGACGCCGCGUGGGUGAUGAAGGCCUUCGGGUUGUAAAGCCCUGUGGGGGGAGACGAACUGUACGAGGUGAACAAUCUUGUACUCUGACGGUAUCCCCUUAGCAAGCACCGGCUAACUCUGUGCCAGCAGCCGCGGUAAGACAGAGGGUGCAAACGUUGUUCGGAAUUACUGGGCGUAAAGCGCAUGUAGGCGGCUUUGUAGGUCGGAUGUGAAAGCCCUUGGCUCAACCAAGGAAGUGCAUUCGAAACCACGAGGCUAGAGUCCCGGAGAGGAAGAUGGAAUUCUCGGUGUAGAGGUGAAAUUCGUAGAUAUCGGGAGGAACACCAGUGGCGAAAGCGAUCUUCUGGACGAGGACUGACGCU
RNAcentral lists this ribosomal RNA (400 nucleotides) under uncultured bacterium. RNAcentral's name for it is "bacterial SSU rRNA". It matches the Rfam family "Bacterial small subunit ribosomal RNA", at positions 355 to 747 of the family's 1533-position model. The record is from RNAcentral.